UAACCCGUGAUGAGUUCUGAAGGAGGC
RNAcentral lists this non-coding RNA (27 nucleotides) under Mus musculus (house mouse). Lineage: Eukaryota; Metazoa; Chordata; Mammalia; Rodentia; Muridae. The record is from RNAcentral.